AAGCCUGAUGCAGCGACGCCGCGUGAGGGAUGACGGCCUUCGGGUUGUAAACCUCUUUCGACAGGGACGAAGCGCAAGUGACGGUACCUGUAGAAGAAGCACCGGCCAACUACGUGCCAGCAGCCGCGGUAAUACGUAGGGUGCGAGCGUUGUCCGGAAUUACUGGGCGUAAAGAGCUUGUAGGCGGCUUGUCGCGUCGAUCGUGAAAACUUGGGGCUCAACCCCAAGCUUGCGGUCGAUACGGGCAGGCUUGAGUACUUCAGGGGAGACUGGAAUUCCUGGUGUAGCGGUGAAAUGCGCAGAUAUCACGAGGAACACCGGUGGCGAAGGCGGGUCUCUGGGAAGUAACUGACGCUGAGAAGCGAAAGCGUGGGUAGCGAACAGGAUUAGAUACCCUGGUAGUCCACGCCGUAAACGGUGGGUACUAGGUGUGGGUUUCCUUCCACGGGAUCCGUGCCUUACCUAACGCAUUAAGUACCCCGCCUGGGGAGUACGGCCGCAAGGCUAAAACUCA
This 514-nucleotide ribosomal RNA is filed under the name Nocardia cyriacigeorgica. Its description in RNAcentral is "bacterial SSU rRNA". It matches the Rfam family "Bacterial small subunit ribosomal RNA", at positions 379 to 903 of the family's 1533-position model. Lineage: Bacteria; Bacillati; Actinomycetota; Actinomycetes; Mycobacteriales; Nocardiaceae. The record is from RNAcentral.